CGCGUAGGCGGUCUUUUAAGUCAGGUGUGAAAGCCCGGGGCUUAACCCCGGAAGUGCACUUGAAACUAUAAGACUUGAGUAUGGGAGAGGGAAGUGGAAUUCCUGGUGUAGCGGUGAAAUGCGUAGAUAUCAGGAGGAACACCGGUGGCGAAGGCGACUUCCUGGACCAAUACUGACGCUGAGGCACGAAGGCGUGGGGAGCAAACA
Molecule: ribosomal RNA, 207 nt
Filed under: uncultured bacterium
Lineage: Bacteria
Description: partial 16S ribosomal RNA
Rfam family: Bacterial small subunit ribosomal RNA
Source: RNAcentral